Long non-coding RNA from Cyprinus carpio carpio, 1210 nucleotides. The record is from Ensembl. NCBI's taxonomy places the organism in Eukaryota, Metazoa, Chordata, Actinopteri, Cypriniformes, Cyprinidae.
UGGCCACAGUAGUACUAAUAUCUCAGAUAAAGUAAUAAUCGUAUUUAUGUCAUAAAUGAAACAAAUGUGAGUUUUUACACUUCAUAACGUUCUUUGCUCUUUUGUUUGUUCAUUUCUAUCACUGAGGGUCAACCUCUGUGGUCUCCCCCCUUCACACGGGGCUUCAAUGGACAGUUCCAUCUGAUGAAGUUGAAAAAGGCGAAUCAACCUGUUCCACACCAGAGCCAGAGCCGCUGCGUCUGCUCUCCAAUCCGAGCACGGUUCGCAGCCGCCGGCUUUCUCCAGAGGACCGCUCAUGAUGCGUCUCCACCACGAACGACGGAACGCGUGUGAAUAAUCCGCUGGAGAUUGCGGGAGAAUCCAGCUCCAGAAGCCGAAGGUCUGUUCGGAUGGUGAGGAGCGAGCGGGCGGUCGAGCAUCCAUGCGCCUCGGCGGACUGUUGCGAAGUGAGCUGUGCUCGUGCGCCGGCUGCUGAAAUGCAGUCUCUCAUCUCACCAGUGACUAAGGCUAUCCUUGUAGCUCUGUUUAUUUUUGCCAUUUUGCUCAUCCUGUACGUGAUACUGUGGUAUAUAUGCAGAGACGUGGACUGUGAUCACGGCAUUUGAAUUUGGAGACCGAAGCUGCGGAUCCGCGGAGACGUCAGGGUGACCCCGUUUUGCCCAAACAGAAUGGCAAGGAUGUAAUACUGACAGGCGGCAAUAAAGGACUCGGCUAUGAGACGGUCAGACAGCUGACGAAUCUGGGAGUUUAUGUCAUAAUAGCCUCACAUGAUGAAGCGGAGGGUCUGGCCGCUGUGAAGAAGAUUUGUGAGGAGGACAGUGAAGCUCAGCUCCAAAUGCAGCCCAUCAGCUCCACAGCACAUCAGUCAUACGGAGGAGAACAACAUCCUCAGGAGAGACAGAAGAACAGGAUGAAAUCAGAACAAGUUCAGGAUGAAAUGAACUUCUGCUUCUCUGAAAAUGAAGGAUAUUUCUGCAGAUGCAGGGCGUUUUGUGUCUCAGCUGCUUCAGUCGUCGUGUCUGGACCUGUGUCCACCCACAACAGCUGAGACACUCCAUCAAACGCUCAGCAAAAAUGACACUGUCUGUGGGAUCGUCAGAAAGACCCUGAAGCACUCGAACCAGAAUGUUCCACGCUCAGCACAAGACAAGAAACCACAGAAAAUCAUUCAGACACACCUCUGAGUUUCAAUAAACACAGUGGAAAAACA